RNAcentral lists this long non-coding RNA (200 nucleotides) under Nicotiana benthamiana. Its description in RNAcentral is "long non-coding RNA (NBEN_LNC035685)". Lineage: Eukaryota; Viridiplantae; Streptophyta; Magnoliopsida; Solanales; Solanaceae. The record is from RNAcentral.
UUUGUUCCUUCUGGAGAACAUGAUGAUGAUUCUGAUUCUCCCAUUCACCUCUCUCCUCCCUCUUCUCCCACAUCUGUGCAGAUGCAUUUUCCUGUCACUGCCCCCAAUGUUUCAACCUUCCCUUCCUCUUUCAAUCAUGUUUUGGCUUCUUCUCCUUCUAUUCCUGCUCCCAGAAAGUCUCAAAGACAGCAUAAUCCUCC